This 806-nucleotide ribosomal RNA is filed under the name uncultured bacterium. RNAcentral describes it as "bacterial SSU rRNA". It matches the Rfam family "Bacterial small subunit ribosomal RNA", at positions 8 to 810 of the family's 1533-position model. The record is from RNAcentral.
AGAGUUUGAUCCUGGCUCAGGACGAACGCUUGCGGCGUGCUUAACACAUGCAAGUCGAACGCUGAAGGCCCAGCUUGCUGGGUUGGAUGAGUGGCGAACGGGUGAGUAACACGUGAGUAACCUGCCCCCUUCUUUGGGAUAACGGUCGGAAACGGCUGCUAAUACCGGGUAUUCACUGUCCUUCGCAUGGGGGGUGGUGGAAAGGUUUUUUCUGGUGGGGGAUGGGCUCGCGGCCUAUCAGCUUGUUGGUGGGGUGAUGGCUUACCAAGGCUUUGACGGGUAACCGGCCUGAGAGGGUGACCGGUCACAUUGGGACUGAGAUACGGCCCAGACUCCUACGGGAGGCAGCAGUGGGGAAUAUUGCACAAUGGGCGAAAGCCUGAUGCAGCGACGCCGCGUGAGGGAUGGAGGCCUUCGGGUUGUAAACCUCUUUCGCUCAUGGUCAAGCCGCAACAAUGGUUGUGGUGAGGGUAGUGGGUAAAGAAGCACCGGCUAACUACGUGCCAGCAGCCGCGGUAAUACGUAGGGUGCGAGCGUUGUCCGGAAUUAUUGGGCGUAAAGGGCUUGUAGGCGGUUCGUCGCGUCUGCCGUGAAAUCCUCUGGCUUAACUGGGGGCGUGCGGUGGGUACGGGCAGGCUUGAGUGCGGUAGGGGGGACUGGAACUCCUGGUGUAGCGGUGGAAUGCGCAGAUAUCAGGAAGAACACCGGUGGCGAAGGCGGGUCUCUGGGCCGUUACUGACGCUGAGGAGCGAAAGCGUGGGGAGCGAACAGGAUUAGAUACCCUGGUAGUCCACGCCGUAAACGUU